CCUACGGGUGGCAGCAGUCGAGAAUCAUUCACAAUGGGGGAAACCCUGAUGGUGCGACGCCGCGUGGGGGAAUGAAGGUCUUCGGAUUGUAAACCCCUGUCAUGUGGGAGCAAAUUAAAAAGAUAGUACCACAAGAGGAAGAGACGGCUAACUCUGUGCCAGCAGCCGCGGUAAUACAGAGGUCUCAAGCGUUGUUCGGAAUCACUGGGCGUAAGGCGUGCGUAGGCUGUUUCGAAAGUCGUGUGUGAAAGGCGCGGGCUCAACCCGCGGACGGCACAUGAUACUGCGAGGCUAGAGUAAUGGAGGGGGAAGCGGAAUUCUCGGUGUAGCAGUGAAAUGCGUAGAUAUCGAGAGGAACACUCGUGGCGAAGGCGGGUUCCUGGACAUUAACUGACGCUGAGGCACGAAGGCCAGGGGAGCGAAAGGGAUUAGAUACCCCUGUAGUC
This 446-nucleotide ribosomal RNA is filed under the name uncultured bacterium. RNAcentral describes it as "partial 16S ribosomal RNA". It matches the Rfam family "Bacterial small subunit ribosomal RNA", at positions 338 to 795 of the family's 1533-position model. The record is from RNAcentral.